Molecule: ribosomal RNA, 3042 nt
Filed under: Clostridium sp. AM22-11AC
Lineage: Bacteria; Bacillati; Bacillota; Clostridia; Eubacteriales; Clostridiaceae
Description: bacterial LSU rRNA
Rfam family: Bacterial large subunit ribosomal RNA
Source: RNAcentral
UUGGUCAAGCUAAUAAGAGCGCAGGGUGGAUGCCUUGGCACUAAGAGCCGAUGAAAGACGUGAUAAGCUGCGAAAAGCUUCGGGGAGGGGCAAAUAUCCUUUGAUCCGGAGAUAUCUGAAUGGGGAAACCCGGCUGAGAAGACCUCAGUCACUGUAUGGUAAAUACAUAGCCAUACAGAGGGAACCCGGUGAACUGAAACAUCUAAGUAGCCGGAGGAAGAGAAAGAAACAUCGAUUCCGGAAGUAGCGGCGAGCGAACCCGGAAGAGCCCAAACCAGCGUGCGUGCAUGCUGGGGUUAAGGACUGCAUAAGUGAGCCGAUCUGUUAAUGGAACUGCCUGGGAAGGCAGGCCAGAGAGGGUGAAAGCCCCGUACAUGAAAACAGCAGGCAGCGGCAGGAUCCAGAGUACCGCGAGACACGAGAAACCUUGCGGGAAGUCGGAGGGACCACCCUCCAAGGCUAAAUACUCCUUAGUGACCGAUAGCGCAUAGUACUGUGAAGGAAAGGUGAAAAGGACCCCGGGAGGGGAGUGAAAGAGAACCUGAAACCCUGUGUUUACAAGCUGUGGGAGAUGUGUCUAUGUACUCACCUAUCUCCACGAGCAUUGCGGCCGUUAUGACAGCGAUUGCGGCGUCCAUUUACUCGGCGUAGACCACUACGCCUGCGUGAAUGUCCAUGCACUCACUGCCAUACCAACCACACUGCUUCGCGGGAAUAGGCGAGUACAUAGCCAUCAACCGCGUACUUUUUGUAGAACGGUCCGGCGAGUUGCCGGUGCUGGCAAGGUUAAAUGGUACAGCCAUGGAGCCGAAGGGAAACCAAGUCUCAAAUGGGCGUAAAGUCAGCACAGGCAGACCCGAAACCGGGUGACCUAUCCAUGUCCAGGAUGAAGCGGAAGUAAAAUUCCGUGGAGGUCCGGAUCCACAUCCGUUGAAAAGGGUGGGAAUGAGGUGUGGAUAGGGGAGAAAUUCCAAUCGAACCCGGAGAUAGCUGGUUCUCCUCGAAAUAGCUUUAGGGCUAGCCCCGUAUUAGUUUAGCGGAGGUAGAGCACUGAAUUCCUAAGGGGGCGUCAAAGCUUACCAAGGGAUAUCAAACUCCGAAUGCCGCAUAAAUGAUGUACGGGAGUCAGACUGCACGAGAUAAGUUGGGCAGUCAAAAGGGAAAGAGCCCAGACCUACAGCUAAGGUCCCAAAGUGUGUGUUAAGUGGAAAAGGAUGUGGGAUUUCAGAGACAACUAGGAUGUUGGCUUAGAAGCAGCCACACAUUCAAAGAGUGCGUAAUAGCUCACUAGUCGAGAGGUCCUGCGCCGAAAAUGUCCGGGGCUAAAACACAACACCGAAGCUUAGGAAUGUAGAAAUACAUUGGUAGAGGAGCAUUCUUAAAGGAAUGAAGCAGUACCGAUAAGGAGCUGUGGACUUUUAAGAAGAGAGAAUGCCGGAAUGAGUAGCGAGAUGGAGGUGGGAAUCCUCCAGGCCGAAUAUCCAAGGUUUCCAGAGUAAAGCUGAUCUGCUCUGGGUAAGUCGGGGCCUAAGGUAAGGCUGAGAAGCGUAGCCGAUGGACAACAGGUUGAGAUUCCUGUACCGCGUAUCAUCAGAACUGUGGGGACACAGAAGGACAGCACAUCCCGGGAAUGGAAAGACCGGGGCAAGCAGGGUAGGAGUUAAGUUGGCAAAUCCGCUUAACAAUCCGAAGCUGUGAUGCGGAGCGAAUUUAAGUAGCGAAGUGUGCGAUUCCGGCUGUCAAGAAAAGCCGCUAUUGUGUGAUACGUGCCCGUACCGUAAACCGACACAGGUAGAUGAGGAGAGAAUCCUAAGGCCGGCGGGAGAAGCAUUGUUAAGGAACUCGGCAAAAUGACCCUGUAACUUCGGGAGAAAGGGUGCCUGGGAAACCAGGCCGCAGAGAAUAGGCUCAAGCAACUGUUUAGCAAAAACACAGGUCUAUGCAAAACCGUAAGGUGAGGUAUAUGGGCUGACGCCUGCCCGGUGCUGGAAGGUUAAGAGGAGGGGUUAGCGCAAGCGAAGCUCUGAAUUGAAGCCCCAGUAAACGGCGGCCGUAACUAUAACGGUCCUAAGGUAGCGAAAUUCCUUGUCGGGUAAGUUCCGACCCGCACGAAAGGCGUAAUGAUUUGAGCGCUGUCUCGACAAUGCACCCGGUGAAAUUGAAAUACCAGUGAAGAUGCUGGUUACCUGCGCCAGGACGGAAAGACCCCAUGGAGCUUUACUCCAGCUUGAUACUGGGAUUCGGUACUGCAUGUACAGGAUAGGUGGGAGACUGAGAACUAUGAACGCCAGUUUGUAGGGAGUCGCUGUUGGGAUACCACCCUUGCGGUAUUGGAUUUCUAACCUGCAGCCGUGAACCGGCUGGGGGACAAUGUCAGGCGGGGAGUUUGACUGGGGCGGUCGCCUCCGAAAGGGUAUCGGAGGCGCUCAAAGGUUCCCUCAUAAUGGUUGGAAACCAUUAGAAGAGUGCAAAGGCAUAAGGGAGCUUGACUGCGACACCGACGGGUGGAGCAGGUAGGAAACUAGGACUUAGUGAUCCGGUGGUAUGAAAGUGGGAUUGCCAUCGCUCAACGGAUAAAAGCUACCCUGGGGAUAACAGGCUUAUCACUCCCAAGAGUUCACAUCGACGGAGUGGUUUGGCACCUCGAUGUCGGCUCAUCGCAUCCUGGGGCUGUAGCAGGUCCCAAGGGUUGGGCUGUUCGCCCAUUAAAGCGGUACGCGAGCUGGGUUCAGAACGUCGUGAGACAGUUCGGUCCCUAUCCGGCGCGGGCGUAAGAUAUUUGAGAGGAGCUGUCCUUAGUACGAGAGGACCGGGAUGGACGGGCCGCUGGUGUACCUGUUGGAGUGCCAACUCCAUGGCAGGGUAGCCAAGCCCGGACGGGAUAAACGCUGAAGGCAUCUAAGCGUGAAGCCCCCCUCAAGAUGAGAUAUCUCAUACGCAAGUAGUAAGACCCCUUGAAGACGACGAGGUAGAUAGGUCAGAGGUGGAAGUGCAGUAAUGCAUGGAGCUGACUGAUACUAAUCGGUCGAGGGCUUGACCAAU